RNAcentral lists this ribosomal RNA (468 nucleotides) under uncultured bacterium. RNAcentral's name for it is "bacterial SSU rRNA". It matches the Rfam family "Bacterial small subunit ribosomal RNA", at positions 32 to 509 of the family's 1533-position model. The record is from RNAcentral.
AUCAACGCUGGCGGCGUGCCUCAGACAUGCAAGUCGAACGAUUAAAGCUCUCUUCGGAGAGUGUAUAGAGUGGCGCACGGGUGAGUAACACGUAAGUAAUCUACCUUUGAGUGGGGAAUAACAAUCGGAAACGAUUGCUAAUACCGCAUAAUGCAGCGGCACCGCAAGGUGACAGUUGUUAAAGGAGCAAUCCGCUUAAAGAGGAGCUUGCGGCAGAUUAGCUAGUUGGUAAGGUAAUGGCUUACCAAGGCUACGAUCUGUAUCCGGUCUAAGAGGACGGUCGGACACACUGACACUGAAUAACGGGUCAGACUCCUACGGGAGGCAGCAGUCGGGAAUUUUGGGCAAUGGGCGAAAGCCUGACCCAGCAACGCCGCGUGAAGGAUGAAGUAUUUCGGUAUGUAAACUUCGAAAGAAUAGGAAGAAUAAAUGACGGUACUAUUUAUAAGGUCCGGCUAACUACGUGCC